RNAcentral lists this long non-coding RNA (558 nucleotides) under Triticum aestivum (bread wheat). RNAcentral describes it as "long non-coding RNA (TAES_LNC022933)". The record is from RNAcentral. Lineage: Eukaryota; Viridiplantae; Streptophyta; Magnoliopsida; Poales; Poaceae.
AUUUAGAAUAGCGGACAAAACUCUGCCAUCGAUUGAACAGUUCUACCUCCCCGCAAAAAAAAUUCAAGCCAAUCAAUCUCUUCUCUACUUAUCUCUACUUACUUAUUACUUAUUUACUUAUUACUCCCUCCGUCCGGGUUUAUUAGGCCUAAAGACAACUUCUCUUAGACCAAGACACAUAGUAAAUUGCUCACAUUAAUUCUUCCAUUCCACUCCCAAUGCACUCUCUCACAUGCAUGCAGCCAAUGAAGAAAUAUGCAUGAAGUGAAUUAAUUUCCCAGCCAUGGCACCAACAACAAUGGCUUUCAAUACAACCAAUGAAAUGGUUGCAUGCAUGCACCUUUCCAAAGCAAGGCCUUAUAAAAAGGGACAUGCUUGUGAUGCUGAGAGGCCUAAUAAACCCGGACGGAGGGAGUACUAUUAAACAAGCAAACAUAUUCUUCACUAUGCCCACCCAGGUAAACGUACACAGGGAAAAACAAGACAAACUACCACCCCAAGAUUAGGCAUCUAACCGUCCAGAUUAAAGUCAGGCCCCACCUGUGUGCGUUUAGCAAU